This is a non-coding RNA of Caenorhabditis elegans, 147 nucleotides long. The record is from Ensembl. Lineage: Eukaryota; Metazoa; Nematoda; Chromadorea; Rhabditida; Rhabditidae.
AUACAAUAUGAGAAAUGGAAAAGAAAGGAAUUGAGAUAGUAUUGAAAGGAGAAAUUGGAAUUGAAAAAGAGACGACACAAACUGGUAUAUAUCAGAGAAGUAAAGUAAUAGUGAAAUGAUGAGUGAAAGUUUUCGAAAAACAAAGCG